GUUCCUGUGGUUAAGAUAUGUAUCAACGAUGGUUUUUCAGACCAUAGGCCUUGGUGAAAAGCCAAGCGGGAAUA
Molecule: transfer RNA, 74 nt
Filed under: Turnix velox (Little buttonquail)
Lineage: Eukaryota; Metazoa; Chordata; Aves; Charadriiformes; Turnicidae
Description: tRNA-Glu
Source: RNAcentral